This is a long non-coding RNA of Panicum virgatum (switchgrass), 1492 nucleotides long. RefSeq lists it as uncharacterized. The record is from RefSeq and is a predicted model, not a curated record. Lineage: Eukaryota; Viridiplantae; Streptophyta; Magnoliopsida; Poales; Poaceae. The transcript has 5 exons.
CUCCUCCUGCCGCCCCACCUCCGUCCCCCUGCCCACGCCGCCGCAGAUCUGUGCACGCGCUUCCCAGGCCAGCGCGCAAGGCAGCUAGCGGCAAGCGCAUGUAAGUAGCGGGAGACACCAGGCAUUUUCAGCGCUCUUGUGUCUUUGGUUUGGGAGCUAGCAGCUGUGCUUGCCAGGUGUUUAACGAAAUUCCAUAUUUCCAAGGGGCAGAGAAAGGUAGGCUACCAUUGGUAUGCCCAUCAUACACGACCUGCGCUGUUCGCUCUCAUGGUUUUAUUGUUGUCUUCUUUGAGAAAAUAAAAACUAAUAGCAGAACUGGCUGUCCAUUUGUAUUGAGAGGCAUUGGUCUCUAGUAUUCAUAGGAAUUUUUUCAGACAGUGUUUAUCCCUUUUAUGAUGCUUCAAAGUUGUCCGUGUCCAUGUUUUACUUUGAAGGUACUCACUAAGUCUGUAUAUGUCUUGGCUAGCAAUAAUCUUUGUAUUACUACACAAAGAAUCUUCUCAAGUCAUAGUAUUAAUAAUUAUAGUCCAACUAUGAAAAAAUUACUGUAGUAUGAUGUGCUGUAAUUUAAUAAAUGCUUUUGUGUAACUGCAAUAUUUUUCUUUUCUUUAUCAAUUUGAUUAUUAUUUUUGGUGCUUUAUUUUUUCUAAAUAAAUUACUCAUGUUGCUUGUGCACUCUUUCCAUGGUUAUCAAUCCUUGCAAUCAUAUAGGAUAACUAACAUAUUAUGGAACCAUGGAUCUCAAGUUUUACCGUUAGCACUGCAGAGCCUUAUUAGUGAGCUACCAAAAUCGGUGAGGAAUAUAGUUUGAUCGAGAAACAGGUCUAGUCAUUGGUGAAACUGCUAUAGCUAGAAAUUGGGUUUCCUUAAUGCAGAUCUGAUUACUUUCUGGGAUUUGCGGGAUUGGAGUUGAUCAGUUGAGGGAAGGAGAACUCGGUUGCCAAUGACCCGCGACAACUUCACCUAUCUUUGCAUUCAAGAAGGACCUCAGACUCAUCUGGUUCUUGCGUGGUCUCCUUCUGUUCAUGUACGCAAUUUUUGGAUGCGGUCUGUUCGUGCUCUGGAGAGGUUAGUUUGGUUUCGCAAUGUUCAAGACUACCGUCUUGUUGUUGAUUCAGAUCGCAACUUUGCAUUCAUUCUAUGCCCUGAACAUGUUAAUGCUGAGGGAUUGAGGGCUAGGUAUGUCACUGUUUGCGACACCAAGUUCUUCAAGUUAGUGAAAAGUGUUGUGAAGAUGCCUUACUAUGAUGAUACUAACCAGUACUCAAGGGCCUGCAACUGAGUCGGACAGUAGUUUAGUUGGAUAGUAGUUUGAUUGGUCUGUUAUUUUGGAUGGCAUUAUGUCAGAGUUGGCGAGGAAAAGACCUGCUUUUGAAAUGUAGUUGCAAACUGAUAUUCUACUAUCUACUUUGGGCAAGCAACAAUAUGUGUAAUAUUUAAGUUUGAAUUGAAAUCAAAUUUGUUCAGAUCCACUAAGUGUGGUUAUUUUCAA